UGUAAGUUCUUACUUUUUAUGUAACAAAACUAAAAUAAUUUUAUCUUUAUUCUCUCAUAUAACUUGAUGAUGUUCUGUUUUGUAUUCUUUUAUGCUCCUACUUUAGUAUUUUUAUCAUAUAAACUAUCAUGCUAUACUAAUUCCUAUGGUAAGUAGUAACAUCAUAAGCUUAGAAAUUUCAUUAAUCUUGUUUAUAUCAUAGUCUUAGAGAAUAAAACUUUCAUGCUUCAUGCAUAAUCACUUGAACUGUGUCAGAUGACUCAAUACGUGCAGGAAAAGGUAUACAUCAACUAAUGUAAUGUCUGUUCGAGGAUUGGUUUUGCCAUCAAAAAACGUUAGCGGCGCAGCUUGUUGUCUGUGUUUGUCUUUCAUUCAUAUAUAAUUAUAUUGAAUAUAUAUAAUCCAAAACAGGAUAAUAAGUUGGCUUAAUCAUGCAAACAGCAGUACAAGAAGUUACAGAAUAAGUCUUGACUCAAUGUCCAUCCUAGUAAUAUAACAGUAGUUUAUCUGUAUUUAAUUACAAUAUAAAGAAUAACAGCUUAAUUGCAGCCACAAUUUAGAACAAUUUGUCCCAUGACAUAUAUCAGUAGUUUCUGGUAAAAUUUCAAGAGAUGAUUUUAUCUACCAUCUCUUAUCUCACCAUAUAUUUGUCUGAAAUUGAAUGAAUGGUGACAAGAUAUGAAGACAUGAAUCAAGUAGCAUAUUCCAAUGAUAAGGUAUUUAAGAACAUGGAAACAUAAAGACAAGAGAGAUCAUUAGUGACAAAAUGUGUUUGUUUAGCCAAAGCUCAUCAACAUCACUGCCUUUUAAAGUUGAAUCCACAAAUUGAACUCAUUUAAAUAUACAAAUCAUACAAGAUAAUAAAUAAAUCAAAAAAUUUAAAAAAAAUAAAGGAAAGGGACUAAGUAUUAAAUAUUAAUGGAAACAAAGCCAGGGAAGAGGCAGUGCAUGAGCGGAGUCACAACAGCUAUCUCAUCUGUUGAUGGUUCCAUCCAUGCUCUGUCUGUUCCCUGCCUUCGUCUUGUCGCUAACUAUUAAUCUCAGCCCCCAACCUUUUUUACAUCUAAAUUAAAUUAUCUUACCUCCUCCAUGUUAGACAUCCUUAGUGUUAAGCAGCUUCUCAUAGUCUUAUAAAACUCUCAUAUUCAAUAAGAUUCCCUUCUCAUUGAAAAUUUGGUUUGUUAAAUUAUUCAUAAAAUGCAAUGUUGAAUGAAGGUAUUGAUUGAUUCUGAUUCUAUAUGUAAUAAUCACAUAAAGGAGGGGAUGUUUGUACUUUGCAAUUUUGCAGUACAUAUACAUGUACUAGGAAAUUUUAGGUGUACUACUUAAUGUACUACUAUUAGUAGCCAACUCAGCUUAGCUAAAUCAAAUUUU
Molecule: long non-coding RNA, 1374 nt
Filed under: Trifolium pratense (red clover)
Lineage: Eukaryota; Viridiplantae; Streptophyta; Magnoliopsida; Fabales; Fabaceae
Description: long non-coding RNA (TPRA_LNC000404)
Source: RNAcentral